AAGAGAAAGUGAACACAGGUGCUGCAUGGCUGUCGUCAGCUCGUGUCGUGAGAUGUUGGGUUAAGUCCCGCAACGAGCGCAACCCUUGUCUUUAGUUGCUACGCAAGAGCACUCUAAAGAGACUGCCGGUGACAAACCGGAGGAAGGUGGGGAUGACGUCAAGUCCUCAUGGCCCUUAUGGGUAGGGCUUCACACGUCAUACAAUGGUGCAUACAGAGGGUUGCCAACCCGCGAGGGGGAGCUAAUCUCAGAAAAUGCAUCGUAGUCCGGAUCGUAGUCUGCAACUCGACUACGUGAAGCUGGAAUCGCUAGUAAUCGCGGAUCAGAAUGUCGCGGUGAAUACGUUCCCGGGUCUUGUACACACCGCCCGUCAUACCAUGGGAGUGGUUUUGCCAGAAGCCGUUAGCCUAACCGCAAGGAGGGCGAC
Molecule: ribosomal RNA, 427 nt
Filed under: uncultured beta proteobacterium
Lineage: Bacteria; Pseudomonadati; Pseudomonadota; Betaproteobacteria
Description: bacterial SSU rRNA
Rfam family: Bacterial small subunit ribosomal RNA
Source: RNAcentral